This 356-nucleotide unclassified non-coding RNA is filed under the name Chytridiomycota sp. RNAcentral's name for it is "partial contains 5.8S ribosomal RNA, internal transcribed spacer 2, and large subunit ribosomal RNA". Lineage: Eukaryota; Fungi; Chytridiomycota. The record is from RNAcentral.
CGCACAUUGCGCUCUCUGGUAUUCCGGAGAGCAUGCCCGUUUCAGAAUCAGUAAAUCAUCCUCAGUCUUCUUUCUUUGAGUAUCUUUUUCCUCGGAGUUUGCAGGCUGGAUUUUGGACGUGUUGUUUCUCGGUCCCGUGCAAGCGGGUCCCGGAGACUCGUCUCAAACAGAUGGGAGAUGCUGGGGUUACCGUUCAACGGACCUUGCAAAGCAGCAACAGUGGCCUUUGUUGGUUCUUGUUCACUCUUUGCGGAAGGCUUCCGGGUACCUCGUCUUACAAGGCAUUUCCGAAUCGCCCUCGGGCAGCUUCAAAAGAACUUGGUCUGAAAUCGGGCAAGAAAACCCGCUGAACUUAA